AUUGAACGCUGGCGGCAUGCUUUACACAUGCAAGUCGAACGGUAACAGGCCGCAAGGUGCUGACGAGUGGCGAACGGGUGAGUAAUGCAUCGGAACGUGCCCAGUCGUGGGGGAUAACUACUCGAAAGAGUAGCUAAUACCGCAUACGAUCUAUGGAUGAAAGCGGGGGACCGUAAGGCCUCGCGCGAUUGGAGCGGCCGACGUCAGAUUAGGUAGUUGGUGGGGUAAAGGCUCACCAAGCCAACGAUCUGUAGCUGGUCUGAGAGGACGACCAGCCACACUGGGACUGAGACACGGCCCAGACUCCUACGGGAGGCAGCAGUGGGGAAUUUUGGACAAUGGGCGCAAGCCUGAUCCAGCAAUGCCGCGUGCAGGAAGAAGGCCUUCGGGUUGUAAACUGCUUUUGUACGGAACGAAACGGCUCUGGUUAAUACCCGGGGCUAAUGACGGUACCGUAAGAAUAAGCACCGGCUAACUACGUG
Molecule: ribosomal RNA, 482 nt
Filed under: uncultured bacterium
Lineage: Bacteria
Description: partial 16S ribosomal RNA
Rfam family: Bacterial small subunit ribosomal RNA
Source: RNAcentral